CAUAUUCAAGGCAUUCACAUUUUCAACUGAUUUCAAAGAUAAACCACCAGCAGGGGGCGAAAGAGUGUAUGCAUUGUGGAACCCAUCAUUAGCUUGUGUUUCCCUGGGGGAACAUAUAUACUGGUGCACCUUUGUGAUAGCAGGUGGUGAAAUGUUUGGUGAAAAAGCAUUUCACUGGAAGUCCUUCAUGGAAGAGGAGACUCUCUUUCAUACACAUUCAGCUCAUUUAGGAUCCUGGAGACUCAACCGGUUCCUGAAUGCACCCUGCCUGGUUGCCAGGCGACGAAGCUAGGCGGGAGAACUCUUGAUUACCCGCACCUGCAUCUCAUCAGCCAUCUGCACACCUGGUCCUGAUCAUCACCUCUUCUCUUCAUAAGCCCUGACCUGACAUCCAUUCCCUGCCGGAUUGUUAGCAAUGAACAUCAUCCUCCCGGAACAUUCAACUCCCCUGCCUGGCCGUCGGUGGUUUCAGUGACAUCAUUGGAUCUGCCUAUUCACUCUCAUCAACUCACCUCCGCUGCCGCUCCGUCUUCUGGAUUAUUCUUUUUUCACCUCAAGACUGUAAAUAAAUACUCACCUUGUCCUGGUCUGCUUCUGGGUUCAGCUUUAGAGAAUCGUG
RNAcentral lists this long non-coding RNA (619 nucleotides) under Salmo salar (Atlantic salmon). Its description in RNAcentral is "lncRNA (ENSSSAG00000113337.1)". The record is from RNAcentral. Lineage: Eukaryota; Metazoa; Chordata; Actinopteri; Salmoniformes; Salmonidae.